CAAAUGUUGGAAGAGGUUGAGUUUCUGGAAUCUCUUGAUUCUCGGAAUUCAGUGGCAGCUCCUCCAUGAUUCUACAAAGUAUGGUAGUAGAUAGGAAGCUGCUCUUUUGCCUACUUUUGGAUGCGGAUUGGCAGCCUUAAC
Molecule: non-coding RNA, 141 nt
Organism: Camelina sativa (false flax)
Lineage: Eukaryota; Viridiplantae; Streptophyta; Magnoliopsida; Brassicales; Brassicaceae
Source: RefSeq, a predicted model, not a curated record